ACAUAUGGGUGGUCACUGAGAAGAGGACAACUGGCUACAAAUAUCAACAGGCUUUAACAGUCUUCUUUCCUUCAAGUCCAGUUCUUUGAAAGUCCAAAUUUGCUCUGAACUGACUUCAAGCAAGUGCCCACUCUUGAACAAAUUACUGAGGCUGGAGGAUAAAGACACAAAUUGGCCAAACUUGGAUUACCUGCCUUCUGCAUCUUAAAGGAGUCAGUCCCAACUACAAAUUUAAGAGGAUCACAGAAACACCCACAAACUUACGAGGAUCACAGAAAACACCCCUACACCAACUUAUAGCCAAUCUAUUCAACCUGCAUUGUUAGCAGGCUGUGAAACCUCAGUUGUAACAUCAAUAAAAUGGGAAGAACAAAAAAGUUGCUGUGAAGAUAAAAUGAGUAAUGAUGGAAUAGUCUGUGGUCGAGUGCAGAAAUACUAUUACCUGUUCCUGGAGGCAAAGAUUAAAGGAAUAGACACCUUCCUCAGCCAGAAUGACCCAGGCCAGGAGCCACAGUGUCAACUUGGAAAAUUUCUCCUUCCUCAUCUCCACAUCAUGUCUGCAGCCUUAACUGCUUGACACCUGACAACUACUCUUAUCUCCAUUGUGUUGUUUUGUUUUGUGUCAUGAUCUUUUUGAAUGUGC
Molecule: long non-coding RNA, 643 nt
Filed under: Homo sapiens (human)
Lineage: Eukaryota; Metazoa; Chordata; Mammalia; Primates; Hominidae
Description: long intergenic non-protein coding RNA 1707
Source: RNAcentral